UUUACUGGAUGAACAGAGGCAACAUAUGAAGAAUUGCCAGUUGGAUGAGGCAACAUAUGAAGAACAGAGGCAACAUAGCGUUGUUCAAUUGCAGUGAAACAGAAUGACAUUGUUACUUCAAGUUACGUAUAUGGCAAAUAUAUGAAGAACUGCCAGAAUAUUUGGAGGAGGUGUUGUCAUUGGAACUUGCGCGUCAAAUAG
RNAcentral lists this long non-coding RNA (201 nucleotides) under Helianthus annuus (common sunflower). RNAcentral describes it as "hypothetical non coding rna". Lineage: Eukaryota; Viridiplantae; Streptophyta; Magnoliopsida; Asterales; Asteraceae. The record is from RNAcentral.